Molecule: long non-coding RNA, 6823 nt
Organism: Salvia splendens (bonfire salvia)
Lineage: Eukaryota; Viridiplantae; Streptophyta; Magnoliopsida; Lamiales; Lamiaceae
Exons: 14
Source: RefSeq, a predicted model, not a curated record
UUGCCGUUAGAAAAAGCAUGACUCCCCUCCACCAUCGGUAUUCACUCCCUCAUUCUCCAUUCACCAUUCACCAUUUUCCCCAAAUUGAGAUCCCCAAUUUGAGCAACCCUUAAUUCCCGUCGCCUCCUCCGACUCACUCUACGCCGGCGACCACAACGCCCUCUCACUCCCUUCUACGUCCUCUCUACACUCCGGCUAAACAACACAGUCAAGUCACGAUUCGCCCUUCGUUCCACCACCGCCUUUGCUUUCGGUUCGCGAGGUCUCAUCACCACCACUCCGUCGCCGUCAGAACGGAGUUGCUGUGCUACUGUUUGGAAGCCGCUGCCGUGGAAUCACCGCAGCCGAACAUCAGCGCCUCAUUGUCCCAGCUUUGCCGCAAUGUCUCGCCGUCGCCACUGUUGCCUUUUUCCCUUGUUUAUUUGUAUUUGCCUUUUUGUGAAGCUAUUAAACUUGUUGUGAUGUCCAAACAUUCAUGGGUUGAAAGAGCACGUCACCGCUUGCUUAUUUGUACAUUGGUGUUAUCCCUUUGAGCAUUUAUCUUAAAAUUUGGGCUCAGCCAUUGUGAAAGCUAGACCCAAUAACUCUCUAUUUCUCUCUCGGUUUUGGUGAUGAAACAAUUGUGUGAUAGUGAAACUGAUUGGGAGUAGACAACAAACAUAAAUGGAUUGAAAGAAAAUCUUUAUUUUGAUUUGGUUGCUUUACUAGCAACUUUUAUUCUCUUAGAGUGAUUUUUUCCACUGCAUCAUGUAACAGUCUGUUUGCUUUCUAAGGGUAUUACUAAGGGUCCCACUAUGUGGUAAGAAAAUGUGGAUUUUGUUAAAUGUGUCUUUGGAAGGUUGAAAUAUAAACUAGAGUGUGUUUGCUUUCUAAGGGUAUUACUAAGGGUCCCACUAUGUGCUAAGAAAAUGUGGAUUUUGUUAAAUGUGUCUUUGGAAGGUUGAAAUAUAAACUAGAGUGUGGGUCAUGAACCAUAAUGGAAAUUGCUAAUUUUUAGGGGACACCAUACGUAGUAAUUGUGCUAUACUAUUGGGGGACGGAUGGACUAAUUGUUACUAGUAUCAGUGCGAACCAAAUGAUUAUACAAUGUUGGGGAGUCAAUUAUUUUAAGCUAGAUUAGUAUUGUGAAUUAGCAUAUGCAUAUUACAAGUUCUAUUAAUAGCGCUUAUAACUUUAUCCUACUGGCUAACUAAAAUCUCACACUUCUGAAUUCUUUCUUUAUUCCUGAUUACGUAUUUGUUUUCUUCCUUAUUUCUUAAUUCAGUAGUUGUGUGGCAAUGGAGGCGUUCUUGUUCUAGUUCAGGCCAUCAUGAACUUAAAGUUAUCGGGCUCAGACAAUAUUUCCUCAUACAUGGCUGCUAUCUCCCGCCUAAAAUCUAAAGCUUUAUCUAUUCUUUUGCACCUUUGUGAAGCUGAAAGUGUAUCCUACCUGGAUGAGGUGGCCAGCAACACAACAACUCGGGAUGUGGCAAAGUCUGUUGGACUCGAGGUUCUUCAAUUGCUGAAAAAUGUUUGGUAUAGAUUCAAGACAGUUAAAAGCUCCCUCCGAGGCAAGUUACCCGAAGGGUCAACUGGAACGUAAUACAAAGCGCUUGGCAGAUGUCGUCUCAGAUGCUUCAAAUUUUCGGUCAUUCAUCAUGAUAAACUUUGUUCACAGUUGAGUCAUUCUGAAUCUUUAGUUCCAGGAGUUUUGAAUGAAGAUGAUGUAUAACUGCUGAGGUUAUUUAUAAGUCAGUUUGAGUGCCGAAUCAUUCGUGCUACAUCGGAAGAUCAUUUAGUCCAUGAGCUUGGAAAGGGGUGGACUGCAGGAGCAACUAGCUUCCUAUAUUGGACUCUCGGCCCUGAUGAGAAAAAAAGAGUAGGGAAUAAGCUUCAUAAAAAGGAAUUUUAAAGCCACAAAAGGAAGGUAGGAAGGUAAGACGAAUCUUGUAAAGAUGACAGGAAAGAUUGCUGUAUAUAUUUAAAGAAAACAAUUUUAUCGGUCAAUCAAAACUGAAUGUUUGGAAAGUAUCGAAGAUGAUCUAAAUUGACUGAGUAUUAUGUUUUUAUUCUGAUAAAGAUACACUGGUAGAGGUUUGUUUUCAGCAUUUUGGUAUGUGAGAAGGUACCAGGUUUCCCAGCAAGGCAGGAAAUCCGAGCUUUUAUUGUAGUCGUCAAAUCCUGGUCUUUGAGGAUUCUGAAAUCGCUGGCCUUGGAAGCUGGUUGAGCACUCAAUUAGUGUCAAGUAAAGAUACUUUCUAUGAGGAUCAGUCAUUAAGCAUCAACGUGUGACUCACCUUACGCUGAGUAUUGCUUUACGAGCUGUUUUAGAUGCUUUGAGUAAGCCUGCAGAUUGGUAAGUUUGUCCCUUCCUCGGUUAUCUGUGAAUUCAGUCUGACCUUGGAUUUAUGACAUUGAGAUGUUUUUCUCUGGGAGUAAGGCAUUGGAGCAGUUUGUGGACCGUAUCAUUGAGUAUUACUUCUCCAGUUUAGUUUUGACCACCUCACUAUUUAUUACAUCGAGUUGAAGGGUAUAAAGCUGCAACCAAUAUUUGCUUCAAUAUUCAAACAUUUAUUUAAUAAACCUAACUUUAGUUUGAUAUUAAGUGUGCCAUUUCAUACUAAAGCCAUCAAUGAAGAACUACUGCAAAAUCUUUCUGAUGCUCUACACUUAUCGGUACCUGAUAAAAUUGGAGUUGGUCUUGCUUUGUCUAAUUCUGAAGAACACGAUAUCUUUAUGAUACUAAGAAGUGUGGUUAGUUAUUCUCUUCUUUGUACAUACAUUUAGAUAUAUUAUUUUGUUUAGUUGUAGGAAGUGGAAUACAUACAUAAGUUUAUUAUUUUUUUCUCCUUGGAAUUCUUCCGCAUGUUUCACUAAACCUAUAACCCUUUUCUUGGCUGUAUGCAGGAAAGAAUUUCUGUUUGACACAAUUUAGAGAGCUGUGUGCCAAAACUACUGCGUUUGAGGCUACUGUGAUAAUUCAGCAUAUUCUCGUGUUACUCUUAGUCAAUUUGAAGGUUUUAAUUAUUUAGAUUCAUUCUUGCAAAUGUUAUCUCUUGUUCCACUACUAAGGUUUUUCUGUUAUAGUUCCUAAUGCAUAAAUAGACUAGAAUGUACUUGGUCGAUAUAAAGGUCGAGGGUGGUAGGGGGCGACUAACUUCUUAACUUAAGAGAAACGGCGGAAUAGGGUGGAAAACAAAAGGCACAAGUCUAUUUAUUGGUUUUUGAGCUUGCUUUGCUUGAUCUUCUGCUUCUUGGUUGUUGCGCCUACAAUUUUCUCUUUAUUCAAUUCAUUCUUUGCUGCCUUUUGCAGCUUUAUAAUUAACCUGUAACAUAUAUUAUAUUUUUGUGUGUUAUGACGUUUUUCUACUUUUUUCUAAUCCACUGUUUGCUACCUUGCAGCUUUAUAAUUAAUACAUACAUAGUAUCCUAUUUUCUUUGUCUUAUAUGCCGUGUACAAAUAUGUCUUAUAUUAGUUAUUAUUUGAUAUAUAAACCCCAUUGAUUGUCAAAUCUUGGCAUCUUAAUAUAUCUGUUAAUUGUAAGUACUUACUAGACACAUUUCCUUUGUACUUCGGCAUUAGGUUUGCUGAACUUGCUUCUAAAAAAGAAAUCGUGGGCCUUGGAAGCUGGUUGAGCACUCAAAUAGUGUCGAGUAAAGAUACUUUCUAGAGGAUCAGUCAUUAAGCAUCAACUUGUGACUAACCUUAUGCUGGGUAUUGCUUUACGAGCUGUUUUCGAUGCUUUGAGGAAGCUUGCAAAUUCAAAAGUUUGUUCCUUCCUAGGCAUUGGAGCAGUUUGUGGGUCAUCUCAUUAAGAAUUAUUGAUCCAGUUCAGGUUUGAGCACCUCACUAUUUAUUCCAGCGAGUUGAAGGGUAUAAAGCUGCAACCAAUAAUUGCUUCAAUAUUCAAAUAUUUAUUUAUUAAACCUAACUUUAGUUCGAUAUUAAGUGUGUUAUUUGAUACUAAAGCCAUCAAUAAAGAACUACUGCAAAAUCUUUCUGAUGCUCUACACUUGUCGGUACCUAAUAAAAUUUGGGUUGGACUUGCUUUGUCUAAUUAUGAGGAACACGAUAUCUGCACGAUACCAGGAUGUGUGGUUAGUUAUUCUCUUAUUUGUACAUACAUUUAGAUAUAAUUUUUUGUUUAGUUGUAGGAAGUGGAAUACAUACAACAGUUUAUUAUUUUUCUCUCCUUGGAAUUCUUCUAUGUGUUGCACUAAACCUGUAACCCUUUUCUUUGUUGUAUGCAGGAAAGACUUUCUGUUUGAGUCAGAUUGCUGCGUUUGAGGCUACUGAGAUAAUUCAGCAUAUUCUUGUGUUAUUCUUGGGAAACUAGGGUGUUUUCCGUGAUAGUUCCUAGUUGUCUAUAAUGUUGUAAAAUACGCUUCAACGUAACUAUGUUACUUGUAAUGUUACCCCGUUCUAAAAUUUUCAACUUGCCUAUAAUGUUUAUCCUUUGUGAAUGCUUGUGCUUCAGGAUCAGUCAUUAAGCAUCAACUUGUGACUAACCUUAUGCUGGGUAUUGCUUUACGAGCGGUUUUCAAUGCUUUGAGGAAGCUUGCAAAUUCAAAAGUUUGUUCCUUCCUAGGUAAUUGGUUAAUGUUAUUAUUGUGAAUUUCAGUCUGACCUUGGCUUUAUGACAUUCUGAUGUUUUCCUUUGGGAGCAAGGCAUUGGAACAGUUUGUGGACCGUCUCAUUUAGUGGCCACUGUACUGCCAUCAUAUCCUGCACUUUGUAACAUUUAUAGGGAGGGCACUUAACAGUAUUUCAGCGGCUUAUACUGAACUGAUGUUAGCCAUAGUGCCAAUACUGAUCACCGACACAGUCAUAUUCAAUCUUCAUCUCCACAUAUAGAGACUGCAGGCCCACCAUUUUCUCUGAUCGGACCCGGCAGCAUAUUGUCUGGAUUAGCAAUUCCCUCUUCGAUCCCACUACAACAGAGACCACCAAGUUCUCUAGAUGAGAGUUCACUCCUAAUUACAUGAAGCCAUCACAACACACCUACCCUUCCUAAGGCAAGUAAUAGGGUCUUUGUCUACUUUGAUGUAGUUCACUUGAUACUUUUUCAUUUUUACCUUGUUUUGACUGUAUUAUUAAGAGCUAAUCUACUCAAACCCACAAUGCAGUCACUCAGUGGUGCUUUGCUGUCAUUAAAAUCUGCCUCCUCGGGUUUACCACGUUCUUCUAGAUAAACCUCAGCAAGUAAAUUGUCACGUUUAACUGUACUACUCUCUCUCAUUGUGCCCUUUAUGGAUUAUAUUAACAUUGGGUCUGGUGUUACAACUGUGCGAAGAGAAACUCCCAUAGAGGUGCUUGGAUGUAGACGUCUUAUAACUUUUUGGCCCCUGUUUACACAUUAUCUUGAUCCUUUGGUUUUCCCAUGUUUUUACUCUUGAGGAUUUUCUUCCUUGUUAUGAGUUAGCAUAUUACAAGUUCUAUUAAUAGCACAUAUAACUUGAUCCCACUGGUUAACUAAAAUCUCACACUUCUGAAUUCUUUCUUCAUUCCUGAUUACUUUCUCGUUUUCCUUUCCCCUUUUGCUUCUUUAUUUUUUGUUUUCUUCCCUGUGACCUGUUUAUUAAUUCAGGAGUAGUGGGGCAAUGGAGGCGUUCAGUCAGGCCGUCAUGAACUUAAAGUUAUCGGGCUCAGACAAUAUUUCCUCAUACAUGGCUGCUCUCUCCCGCCUAAAACCUAAAGCUUUACCGAUUCUUUGCAACUUUGUGAAGCUGAAAGUAUCAUACCUGGAUGAGGUGGCCAGCAACACAACAAUUCAAGAUAUGGCAAAGUCUGUUGGACUCAAGGUUCUUGCCUUGUUGAAAAAAGCUUGGUAUAGAUUCAAGACAGCGAAAUGCUCCCUCCGAGGCACGUUACCCGAAGGGGAAACUUAAUACAAAGCGCUUGGCCGAUGUCGUCUCAUAUGCUUCAAAGUGUGUUAAUAGUGUUUGUAGUGUUUGUGUGUUUAUAAUGUUUGUAUUUUCUGCAUGUAUUUUGUGUAGCGUGUAGUUUUUUUGAUGCAUGUGUAAAGUGUGUAUGUAGUACCGGCAGUGUAUGUAUUUUGUGAAUUUUGUGUAUAGUGUGUGUAGUGAAGUGUGUUUAUUGUGUGUGGAUGUGUGAAUUUUACGUGUAGUGUAUAGUAUGUGUUGAUAUACUUUGUGUGCAGUGUGUGCAGGGCAUGUAUUUUGUGUGUAUAGUGUAUUGUAUGGAUAUUUUGUCUAUACUAUGUGCGUAAAGGGUGUUAUUUUUUGUGUAAUGUGUUUAGAAUGUUUAUUUUUUGUAUCGUGUACGAGUGUGUAUUUUUUGUAUGGUGGGAGACAAUAUAUGUAGUGUGUGUGUAUGUUACUGUGUGCUAUAAUGUCUGGUGUGUGUAUGGUGUUUAUAGAAUGUGUGUUGCAUAGUGUGUUUUUUGGUGUAGUGAGCAACAUGGGCAUUGUAUGUAUAUCGUGCGUGGAGCAUAUACUUUGUGUGCAAUAUGCACCGUGUGGUAUGAUGUAUAGUGUGUAUAUAGUGUGCAAUGUGUAUGAAGAGUAUUAUUUUUUGUUUAGUGCGUAGCAUGUUGAUUUUGUGUAGUGUGUAUGUUUGUAUGUGUUUUAUUUAUAUUGUGUUGGUUUAUUUUAUUUAUACCGUGUUUAAUGUAUGUAGUAUGUGCCAUGAAUUUAAAAUUUGUGUAUACUUUGUGUGCAAUAUGCACCAUGUGGUGUGUGGUAUGAUGUAUAGUAUGUAUAUAGUGCGCAAUGUGUAUGAAGUGUAUUAUUUUUUGUUUAGUGUGUAGCAUGUUGAUUUUGUGUAGUGUGUAUGUUCGUGUGUGUUUUAUUUAUAUUGUGUUUGCUUAUUUUAUUUAUACCG